This is a long non-coding RNA of Tripterygium wilfordii, 1087 nucleotides long. RefSeq lists it as uncharacterized. NCBI's taxonomy places the organism in Eukaryota, Viridiplantae, Streptophyta, Magnoliopsida, Celastrales, Celastraceae. The transcript is spliced from 3 exons. The record is from RefSeq and is a predicted model, not a curated record.
CCUUGGCUGUGGCAAGACCCAGGCCAGAGGAGGCUCCAGUGAUUAUCACAUUGCCUUUCCUCGCAGUUUUCUUUCCUUCUGUUGUAGUCUGGUCAAUAGCUGGAUCUACAGUAGCUGUUUGGGCUCUUAUGGCGCCAAGAGGAACAUGAGGCCUAUUGGUAACAUGUAGAGAAACUAAAAGUCUUAAAGUGCGUAGUGUGUCUAUCAAUAAGGUCUUGAACCAAUUGGAUCAAUGCAAGCUAGCUGAGUGUGGACUUAAAAUGUUGAGAUCAUUGCGGAAGAGCACUUCACUAUCCCUAGAAUUAUAUAAUCCAAUCUCAUAAAGAAGACUAGCAUGCCAGAAUACCAAAUGGAAGAAGAGACAUCAUAGUUAGGCAAGCCUACCUUGCUCCUUAUCAAGUAAUUGCUGAAUUCACCUGCUGGGUGGUUUGAAGUUGAUAUCCCGGAAAAAGUAGUCUCUCUGAGUGAAGCAUUGGACUUUCCCUGUUAACACAAACGCCUUCACAUGAAUCAGAUUGAUGGGAAAGACCCAUAGAAUACUAAUCAAGAACAUACCCAGAAACUCCAUGAAAAGACAGAAAGCAGUACAGACUGAACCGAUCCUUACAUUUUUGCGGAUGGAGAUGCUAUGAGGAAGUAGAGAAGCUGCUUGGAGAGCCAUAAGUCUGUGUUUGUGAGACUGUGAGUGGAGCUUUCAAAUGGAAUCAGGUCAGGACUCUGAACUUUUGCAGGGAGAGAUAAGACCAGUCUUGGGCUGCUGACAAUUUUGCCACGUGGACUUGUUUGUCCAAUUGGGUUUUGAGCUUGGAUUUUCUUCUGAUAUAUGAUGUCCAGCUGGACAUAGACAUCCAAUUGGCUUGUCCACUGUGGUUUUCCGGAAUGUUCCUCAUCCGUUCCCAGUGAUGGGCUGGGCUUCAUUUUUUACAGUGGGUUUGUAAUGUGGGCUCUAUUAUCUAGCACAAUAAGACGGUGUGGGCUCAGUGGCUUAGAUUUAGGCCGCAUAAUUCAUACUUUUGGCUCUGAAAUGGAAGUUGGAAAUGCUAGACAAUUUCUGACCUACUUUUUAUUCACGAAAAAUCAUGAACUA